GAAACAAGUUCUAAAGACUUAGACGGUGGAGAACAUUUUCUUCACUCCACAUUGUAUUAGGUUGGUGCAAAAGUAAUUGCUGUUUUUGCAUUACUUUUUAAAAAAUGGCAAAAACUGCAAUUACUUUUGCACUAACCUGUCUUGUAAUUUUUUGUUUUUCUCAAAAGGGUACUUUACUAGCCACAGUUCUUCAUCCUGCACGCGCACACACACACACACACACACACACACACAUCUAUUGUUUAUUCUGCUAUUGAAGCAGUUACAUAACAGGUUACCUGCAAAAUGGGAGCUGGAAAAACAUACAUAGUUUUAAUAAAGAUCAAGCGACAUUAGAGUCUAUCAUGGAAGAGCUCGAUAUAUCCAAACUGGGAAACUAUGAAUCAAAAUUUCAUUAGAGAAAUAUUAGUGACUAUUCUGACUUUUUUUUGUUUUUCCCUUUUUGAUAUUAGCCAGCUCUUCCUAAAAGUCUCUAGGCUGUUUCAUCUGGAGUUCCCAAGCCCUCUUUCUCAUUCAUGAUAUCUACUUGGAAAUUAGGUGUCUCAGUACAGCUGCUUGCUAAUUGUAAUUUAAUUUGAAUCUCACUUAAGAAAGCAUUUUCUUUGGAGGGGGAGAAAUCUUCAAGGAAAAAAAUACUUUCAGGUCUUGAUUUGUAUAACUAACCCUUGCACUUGGUAGGUCAUUAGAUCUCACUAGUUUGUAAUGCAAUCAGAGUCAGCAUUCUGCUCUUAAGGGCUACUCGGUAAUUUGCUUGUUAAUAUAUUAGCACACAGCAUUGAUCAAAUGGCUAAUCCAAUCACACGCUUGUAAUCGAUCUCUUAUUGAUUACCUAGUCUGGUGAUCACUUUUGUUGGGUUCAGUCAAUAGUAAAUGCCAAGUAGCCUUUCACACACCUAAUUAGCUUAUGAAAUAAACCAAACAUUUUGCUUGGCCCUGAAGGCAAAGAUCAAUGGAAAGCUUUGGGGCUGAAUUCAGAUGAUUUUUUCAUCAACUUUUCUUCCUCUCUUCUGCAGCCACUCAAGUUCACAUUAACACUCUCCCUCUGGUUUGAAGACAUCUGAAAAGCAGCUGCCAUGGUGGAGACGCUGAAGCAGCUGAAUUUCCAGUUUGUAAAUUGGAAAGCGCUGGAAAGCUGAGCCCCACUCAGUAACAAGACAACUCCAAUCAAAGCAAGUGUUUGCAGGCAUCAAAGUCAAGCUUGGCUGGGACAGCCAAGGGCAGCCCAGAGGUCCUUCUCAUAGUACUACCUUCUCAUAGUACUACCCUGUCUUGAGCAAAGCCCCUUCUGGGACCAUCAGCAGGAUUUGGCUGACUAACAGAGGGCAAAUUUCAUGCUGGUUUGAGCCUAAUGCCUCUUUGUUUUUACUGCAUUUUUACUUACAAAGGGACUUGUGCAAAACAAAACAUAGAAUAAGAUUUCAAAGUUUUAGGGGGCAAUGUGGGUUUGGCUACAAAUUUUCAGAGGAACAUAAAACCAAAAACACAAGCUGUGGCCUUAUUCUGAGUAAUUUCAGAAGAAAAUAAGCCCUUUUGGAAAUGUAUGCACAUACAUUUCUGAUGUAGGUUGGAAUGUGCUGGUUGCAAUGCUGGAGAUGUGGAUUUACAAUAUGCAUUGGAAUUAGGCAAACCUGAGUUCAUGUCACACUUCUGCUAUUUAUUAUUUAUGUAGCCUGAGAGAAGUCCCUUAAUUUCUUGAUUCUUUAAUUUCCCGCACCUUACAAUGAGCAUAAUGAGAGUGCUUACCCCAUAGAAGAGGGAUUAUUAAAUGAGACAAAUUACAGAAGGCACUUUCAGCAAUGCCUACCAUGUAUUAAGUGUUCAGUAAAUGCCAAGUUGUUGUUGUAAGUCUUAUAAGAUCUACCACUUGGUUGAACUUCACUAAGAUUCCGAAGAGUUCUCUCUCUCUUUCUUUCCUGCCUCCCACCGCCUGCAUUGGAGCUGCCUUCUUUGCCACCAUGUUUGGAAUUUGGUAACACCAAUUCCAAAAUGUUUUACAAAAGGAUGCACAAGUGAUUCUGGGAAGCUAAAAUGACAAUCCCAUCAGAAUUGGCAUGUUCCCUGAGAAAAUGCAAACACUAAAAGAUAAGAGAUUUGAGGAAAUCAUACAAUGGAAUUUGAAUUCUUAGUGGAUCUAGCCAUUCCAAAUAUUUUCAUAGGAUAUGUUCAAAGUGACUUGGAAAAAGAGUAAAAACAAAGUUAAGAAAGCUAAAGGAAUUGAUAAUAUGUGCCAUUCAGAGAAAAUCUUUUUUGCUUUGGAACAUUUUAAAUGAUCACAUGAAAAGAUUUUUGGAUCUUACAUUAAAUUAUUGCUUACUAAUUUGCAAGAUAAAAGAGAAUUGGGAUGGAAAUAUAAUUUUCUAUUGAGUGAAAAUGAAUACAAAUUAAAGUGUUACAUUCUUAGGUUAGAAAAUGUGCUUGACUUCAAAAAGAGUUUUGGGAUUCACUCAUAUUCCCAUAUAUAUUUAAUGAAAUGUAACAUGCUACUGAAACAUUGCUUUCUGCCAAUACUUUAUGCCAGAGUCUAAGAAACGCUGAGGAUUAAUAGCAGAGAAAAAUGCUCCUCUGUUUGGCUGAAUAAACAUUACACAAACACUAAACUCUGUGUGGGAUCAUUAGUUUUUUCAUCACACUAUUUCUAGAAUUGAAAAAUCACAAAUCCUUCUCCAGCUUAGUUCUUUUUUGCAACAAAAGCAUUACUCAGACCAGCUAAAAUGUAUUCUUUAGGAUUCUGACAUCUCCGGAAUGUCAAACAGGUUCAGUGGACACCAAGUACAGAUUCUCUCUUUCAUGUGGAAAGGUUAAGUAAGAAAAGACUUCAUGUGAGGAAACUGCCCCAUCAUUCACAGUUAUUUUAAUUUAAUCUGAGUGUGCUUCAAUUUACAUAUAAACUGGAAUGUUGUCUCAGAAAAAAAAAUCUAUUUCAAGGAAAUCAACCUUUGGAGUAAAUAAAACUGACAAUUUAAAAAAGUGAUGAACAUUUUAAGACUAUAUAUGCAUUUGAGAGAAGCCAGCAUAACCAUAAUGUAAGAUUAGCCUUAUUUUAAUAUGAACUAUCCAUAAAAACAUUAUGCAUAUAUUCUUUGACUCAAACAAUUGGUUUUAUAGCCUUCUGAAAUUUUGAAAGACUUAUGGUCUUUAAUAUGCUAUAGCUGUUAACCAGAUAAGCAUAUUUUUCUGGAAGAUAUUCCUUUCAUAGAAUAUAAAUUAACCACAGACAUGACAAAAUGGCCAAAGCUGGCAGGAAGAGGAGAGAGCUGGAUGAUAUUAAGAAAUUAAAUGAAUAAAAUAUGGUAAACUUUUGUCAACAAAUAUUUAACCAUGGAAUUGUUUUUAUUGUAACCUUAAAAGAAGAGAA
Molecule: long non-coding RNA, 3355 nt
Filed under: Homo sapiens (human)
Lineage: Eukaryota; Metazoa; Chordata; Mammalia; Primates; Hominidae
Description: HSALNT0110546
Source: RNAcentral